This 1659-nucleotide long non-coding RNA is filed under the name Nicotiana tabacum (common tobacco). RNAcentral describes it as "long non-coding RNA (NTAB_LNC004372)". The record is from RNAcentral. Lineage: Eukaryota; Viridiplantae; Streptophyta; Magnoliopsida; Solanales; Solanaceae.
AAAAUAUUGCCCCCUAUUGUAAAUAAAGAUUUACAUAUAUAUACAAUCCAAAUUGUCCAACAAGAUAAUAAAUCCUUAGAUAGUGAUGAAAUGUUACCAAGUACAUACAUUUGAUAUUUCAAGAGUUAAAAGUUUUAAAAUGUCUUGAUAAGAAACAUUCCUAGAAACCGUCACAUGCAUCUACAACAAUCAAUAAUUCAAAAUUCUCUUAAGUAACAUUCCUAGAGAUGCAGGAAAAGAUCUUCAUCACCGCCUCCGUCUUCCAUUUUUACUCCACCUACAAAAAGUAUAAAUAGUCAUUAUCCGAAUCCUAUCUAAAAAUUCACUUGGUCCACAAAACCAAGGGUAAAAAGAAAGUAUAAAAUUCUGCAUUAAAACCCAAAAUUGGAUGGCAAAAUGUUGGUUUAUCCCAUAAUAGACGGACAAAGAUAUUCCGGAGAUAAGGGAUCAUCAACACAUAAAAAGAUACUCCCAAGAAUGCAAAAUUCCAAAAAAGAGUUCACAAGAAGUACAAAAGGACACACGUCUACCACAUGCCAAUUAAUAAGGCAAAUAACUAAAUCAACUUAACAAGUAAUUUAGAACUCAACUUUAACAGAUCAGUGAAGAGGAAAAAUAGUAAAGAUUACAUGUUUCAUUAGGAAAGAACCAAGAAUCUCCUAGACAUAUUAAGAACCCAUCUCAGACGAUAAUGGAAUGCAGUACCAAUUCUAUUUGACAAUAAUGGAAUGAGACUUCUGACAUUAUUUUUCAAAAGUAAACUGUGCUUCAUGUAUGUAUUAGUAAAACCAAAUUGUCAAACGUAUGCUAUUACUCUCAUUCAUGGAGGUUUAAUACUCUUGUACUUGACUAAUUAGCUGGGAAGUCACCUUUAGAUCUAUCUAGCAGCUACAUAAUUCCUACGGGCAAUGUAUCAACUCCAGAGGAUGGCAAGAUUGGUAACCGAGCAGCCCUGUACUGGAUGCCGCAGCUACGUAGUUCCUACAGGCAAUAUAUCAUCUCCAUAUCUGAUUCAAGCAGCUUUUUAAAGAGCCAAUGGAAAAUUUUCUGAGGCAGAAACGGAAAUAUACAUAUAGCGUCGGCUCAUACACAACGGCCAUUUCAAAAUAGACAUCGCUGGUAAUCAGUAAAUCGACGAAUUUUCACAAACACAUAAUAUGCACAUAAACAGAAAUCAUUAAAUCAAAUUGAUAAUUGAGAUUGCGGCGAGUGCUGUUGAAGAGAUGCGGGAGAAGAGGGGACAAUGACGAAACAAUUGUCAAGAAUGGGGGACUUUAGAGUGUCCCAGUAGAGUAUUGCCAAGGCAUAUAACUCGAUUUUCCAUGGAAGUUCUGCUUAAAUAACUAAUUAUGUUUGAUAUUUGAACCAAAAUCAUGGCAUAGACUUUAGAGUGUACCAAUCUCAAAUGCCAUUAAAAGGUACUUCAGAGGACAAGAAGUGUGCAAAGCAGAAACAAUUAAAUCACCCAAGAAAUAUGCAAAGCAGAAACAGUUAGAAUAUUCAAAGGACAAAAUGACACAGAUAUACAUUCUAAGGCAGGUGUUCAGGACAACUAGAUCUAAAACAGCUGCAAAUAUUGCCCAAAAAUACAGCAAAACAGAUGCAAAUAUCGCCCAAAAAUGCAGCAAAACAGCUAAAGAAAUCACCUUCCCAAAGCUU